Molecule: ribosomal RNA, 200 nt
Filed under: uncultured bacterium
Lineage: Bacteria
Description: partial 16S ribosomal RNA
Rfam family: Bacterial small subunit ribosomal RNA
Source: RNAcentral
UACGGAGGAUCCAAGCGUUAUCCGGAUUCAUUGGGUUUAAAGGGUGCGUAGGCGGAAUGAUAAGUCAGUGGUGAAAGCCUGCAGCUUAACUGCAGAACUGCCAUUGAUACUGUCAAUCUUGAGUACAUUUGAUGUGGGCGGAAUGUGUCAUGUAGCGGUGAAAUGCUUAGAUAUGACACAGAACACCGAUUGCGAAGGCA